UAGUUAUAUGCUUGUCUCAAUGAUUAAGCCAUGCACGUGCAAGUAUAAGCGUUUAUACGGUGAAACUGCGAAUGGCUCAUUAUAUCAGUUAUAACUUACUUGAUCGUUCAUUGUCAGUAGCAGCAAUGCUUCUGGCAGUUACACGGAUAACUCUGGUAAUUCUAGAGCUAAUACAUGCAGCCCGAAAGGGACAAGCAUCCAGCUUUUGUUGGGUGCUGCAUUUAUUAGAUAACGAUUGCCAAACCAACCUUUCGCAAGAAAGGGCACUGGUGAAUCAUAAUAACUGAGCUGAUCGUAUGGCCAAGAGCCGACGACGGAUCAUUCAGAUUUCUGCCCUAUCAACUUUCGGUGGUAGAAUAGAGGUCUACCAUGGUUAUCACGGGUAACGGAGAAUCAGGGUUCGAUUCCGGAGAGGGCGCCUGAGAAAUGGCGACCACAUCCAAGGAAGGCAGCAGGCGCGCAAAUUACCCAAUCCUGACACAGGGAGGUAGAGACAAGAAAUAACAAUGCAGGGCCCAAUGGGUCGUUGCAAUUGGAAUGAGAAGGGAGUAGACAACCUAUUCGAGUAACAAUU
This 574-nucleotide ribosomal RNA is filed under the name uncultured eukaryote. Its description in RNAcentral is "bacterial SSU rRNA". It matches the Rfam family "Eukaryotic small subunit ribosomal RNA", at positions 21 to 549 of the family's 1831-position model. The record is from RNAcentral.